This 401-nucleotide ribosomal RNA is filed under the name uncultured bacterium. RNAcentral describes it as "bacterial SSU rRNA". It matches the Rfam family "Bacterial small subunit ribosomal RNA", at positions 355 to 773 of the family's 1533-position model. The record is from RNAcentral.
UAGGGAAUCUUGCGCAAUGGGCGAAAGCCUGACGCAGCCAUGCCGCGUGAAUGAUGAAGGUCUUAGGAUUGUAAAAUUCUUUCACCGGGGAAGAUAAUGACGGUACCCGGAGAAGUAGCCCCGGCUAACUUCGUGCCAGCAGCCGCGGUAAGACAGAGGAGCCAAGCGUUGUCCGGAAUGACUGGGCGUAAAGCGCACGCAGGCGCUGCGGUGCGUGGGGUGUGAAAACUGGCGGCUUAACUGCCAGAGGCCACCUCAUACGGCCGCACUCGAGCUCUGCAGAGGUCCAUGGAAUUGCCGGUGUAGUGGUGAAAUGCGUAGAGAUCGGCAGGAACACCCAGGGGGAAACCAGUGGACUGGGCAGCAGCUGACGCUGAGGUGCGAAAGCGUGGGGAGCGAAC